AUUUACAAACGUGCAUUCAUGAGAAGAAUGUAAACAUGAUAAAAAGAUACAUACUAAUAUAAAAUAAGGAUAUAUUAACUAUAAAAAAAUAAGAAACACAUUAUGUUAAUUCUUCAUAUAUAAAAAAUGGUCUAUGUAUUAUUUAUAAACGAGCUGUAGUAUCGAAUUUCUUGUAAAGGUUCAGGGGUCUGAAUUUAUGAAACUACUGCACCAUAAUGUGCAUAAUCUAAAAAGAGAGUGAUUGAUCUACUAUGACCAUUAAUAUUAUUAUGCAUACUGUUCUAGAUGUGACGUCUACCAAAUUAUUAAAAAACUUCAAUGUAAAAAGCAUGCAAUACUAAUCUUAUUUUUUAGUAUAUUUAUUCAAAUAGGUUAAAAAAGGGAAACAUGAUAAUAUAUGUAUGUAUAUGUCGUGUACAAGUUGCGAUUUUGUACAGGUUAUAACAUGUACAAAAACAUUGUACAUGUUAUAACUUGUAUAAUGCAAAAAUACAAGUUAUAACAUGUACACAAGUACCUCAUACAUGUUAUAACCUGUACAAAAUAUUGCUGAAAAAUGGUUUUAACUUGUACAAAAUUUGAGAUAAAUCUUAAUGAAGUAAAAUAUACAUUUAAAUUCACCAAUGCAUAAAGAACAACAAUAAAUAGGUCAGAAUGUGUCUUUUUCUGUAGAGGACAAUGAUCACAAAGUUUCAGAAAUAUAUGUUUUAUGACUUAUGUUGACAAAAUGUGUUUUCAUGUCAUUGUAUGUUUUAUGUAGUCCAUCAUGGCUUAAAUAAGUGUGACACUAUUUACUAAAAGCUUGCAUUUCCUCAAUGACAAUUACAUUAGACAUGUUAGAUACUUGUGAUUUAAUUCUUCAAAAAAAUUUUAAGAACGAUGCCUUAAAAUUUUGGGUAAUACUCCUCCCUCUCGUUUUAUAGCAUGCAAAGACUAAAAUAAUGUCUUAUAUGCUUACUCUGCAAAAGCAAGAGAGAGCUGAAAUAAUUUUCAUUGGACCACGCUUCAUUAUCAAUAUCUUUGGAUCUACUCUUCAACAUUUUUGGCCUUCAGCAUGACUUAUGUAAAUUUAUAAUUAUUUUUUUUUAUAUAAACUAUAAGAUCAUUGCAUGAGGCAGAUGUCAUUCUGAUGUUUUAAAUAUAUAUCCUCUACUUUGAAAGCAUGUAUUUGUGUCCUUUGGAUGUCGUCUGCUCCAUGGUCUGGUUGUUGUCUUUUAGACACAUACCCCAUUUCCAUUCCCAAUUUUAUUUGUAGACACAUCUGUCCUGGCUAUCCUCUUCUGUCUUUCAGUGUGAACUAGAAUGAAAGUAUUUUACUAUUGCCCUCAAAGUGGACACUCACAAUUAUAAUUCAUCAAAUUAAGAUAUGUCCAUAAAUAGUCAUAAGAGGAUCAUAAGACAUGUCCUAAGAUAUAUCUUAUGAUAAAUCUUAGGAAUGCUUCGUAAUACCGACCCCUGGACAUUAACUAUAUCGAAAAAGGACAAAACACA
RNAcentral lists this long non-coding RNA (1491 nucleotides) under Mytilus galloprovincialis (Mediterranean mussel). Lineage: Eukaryota; Metazoa; Mollusca; Bivalvia; Mytilida; Mytilidae. The record is from RNAcentral.